RNAcentral lists this small nuclear RNA (58 nucleotides) under Sparus aurata (gilthead seabream). Its description in RNAcentral is "U7 small nuclear RNA (ENSSAUG00010024214.1)". It matches the Rfam family "U7 small nuclear RNA". From Rfam's summary of the family: Animal histone pre-mRNAs are spliced by a different mechanism than nuclear pre-mRNAs and self-splicing introns. Lineage: Eukaryota; Metazoa; Chordata; Actinopteri; Spariformes; Sparidae. The record is from Rfam by way of RNAcentral.
GAAUAAUUUGCUCUUUUUAGAUAUUUCUCUAGCAGGUUUCUCUUAAUGAGAAGCCCCA